This 429-nucleotide ribosomal RNA is filed under the name Bacteroidota bacterium. Its description in RNAcentral is "Bacteroidetes bacterium partial 16S ribosomal RNA". It matches the Rfam family "Bacterial small subunit ribosomal RNA", at positions 355 to 776 of the family's 1533-position model. The record is from RNAcentral. Lineage: Bacteria; Pseudomonadati; Bacteroidota.
UAGGGAAUCUUCGGCAAUGGGGGGAACCCUGACCGAGCAACGCCGCGUGAGUGAAGAAGGUUUUCGGAUCGUAAAGCUCUGUUGUUAAGGAAGAACGAGUGUGAGAAUGGAAAGUUCAUGCUGUGACGGUACUUAACCAGAAAGGGACGGCUAACUACGUGCCAGCAGCCGCGGUAAUACGUAGGUCCCGAGCGUUGUCCGGAUUUAUUGGGCGUAAAGCGAGCGCAGGCGGUUAGAUAAGUCUGAAGUUAAAGGCAGUGGCUCAACCAUUGUAGGCUUUGGAAACUGUUUAACUUGAGUGCAGAAGGGGAGAGUGGAAUUCCAUGUGUAGCGGUGAAAUGCGUAGAUAUAUGGAGGAACACCGGUGGCGAAAGCGGCUCUCUGGUCUGUAACUGACGCUGAUGUGCGAAAGCGUGGGGAUCAAACAGG